AUACAUUUGGUCAUAGAUUCAUAAUUUAAUUAAUCAUAUAUUAUUUUCCGAUCACAUAUCAUAAUUUUUAAAUAUCACAAGUUAUUUUACAAUCACAAUUCAAAACAUUUAUAAGUCACAAUUUGUUCAUCGGUCACAGAUCGAAAAUUAAUACGUCACAAUUUAUGUAUCGAUCAGAGAUCAAAAAUAUUAUAGAUCACAACUCAUUAGAUGGUCACAAAUUAAUAUUUUUUUUAGCCCAUAUUGGUCACAAUUUAUCUUUUUCAACGGUCUCUAUUGGUCACAGAUUAAUCAAUUUAAUGGUUACAAUAAACCAAAUAUCCAGAUAAUCUGUGACCACACAAACACUUGUGACAACCUCUGCUUUCAACAGUAUCGCCGCUAGAGCCAACACCGUUACCCUACAGCAACAACGUCACGGGACAAAACCACCAUAGCAAGCACAACACCACCGGCCAUCCCUCAAUAUUGCAACCACCAGAUAGCGUCACCCAUGCCAUCCCACACACAAACCACCAUCCACAACCACCAUCGUCCUCCUCCAGCCCAAUGUUGGAACCAAAUCCUGAACUUAUCCAACAUCACCAACAACUCAACAUCACAGCCAUCACCAUCGCUGGAACACCACAGCUGUCAAAAGAAAGCACAAUCUCACCACUUUCUCGGUUAGCACCGUCGCAGUCGCCAACCAGCAAUAAUCGCCGGAGGCCAGAGUAGGAAUCCCCCUUCUUGAGCAGCCACAGAGAGUGAGAGGGAAAAGACGGGUGGGGAGAACGAGUGGAGAGAGAAUAUGAGUGGGAGAAGAGAAGAAAGGUUGGCGAGAGAGAGAGAUUAAGAUAGAGUAAAUACGAGUGUGAAAGAGAGAGAAUAGGGUGGGAGGAGAGAGAAGGGAUUGGAGAGAGAAAGAGAUUGGAGAGAUAA
This 921-nucleotide long non-coding RNA is filed under the name Olea europaea subsp. europaea. The record is from RNAcentral. Lineage: Eukaryota; Viridiplantae; Streptophyta; Magnoliopsida; Lamiales; Oleaceae.